AUGCCGUGAAGAGGUCCAGCUCCGAUUGGUAGCUUGGAGCCAUAAAGUUUAAAAUGAAAUCUAUGAAGGUCAAUAGUGUAUGGAUACUCAUUGAUCCACUCGAAGAGAUAAAGUCUAUAAGAUGUAAGUAAAUCUUCAAUAGGAUCGGAGGGCACAGACAAGAAGAUGAAGGCCUACAAAGCCCAUCUGGUUGCCUAAGAAUAUUGUCAAUAUUAUGGUAUUGAUCAUAACAAGAUAUUUUUCUCCUGUGGUAAUGCUAAAUAUUUCAGAGUUGGAACAUGUAUUUUGAUAAGUGAUCAAACGCAUAGCUU
Molecule: long non-coding RNA, 311 nt
Filed under: Elaeis guineensis (African oil palm)
Lineage: Eukaryota; Viridiplantae; Streptophyta; Magnoliopsida; Arecales; Arecaceae
Description: long non-coding RNA (EGUI_LNC081736)
Source: RNAcentral